UCAGGAAAAAAGAAAAAAGAAAAGAAAAAACUGUUUUAAUAACACAUUUUUGGUUGGUAAGCAAAGCAUGCACUCAGUGAAAUUUCAUUUUUUUUCCACUUCAUUCUUAUGGAAGAAGUUGCAUUGAGCUAGAGCUUCAUUCACUUAUUGACACAUGGUUGAUGUCCAAGGGAAAAUUUUUCACUAAGCUCUAAAAAAAUACUCAUGCCUUGUCAUUGGAAUUUGAAUCUGCAGGAUUCUCUUGGAAGGAGCAGCAAAACAGUCAUGAUUGCUUGUGUCAGUCCUGCUGAUACAAAUGUUGAGGAAACAAUAAAGGCUCUGAAGUAUGCUGAUCGUGCCCAUAAUAGUCAGAACAAGGCAGUUAUCAACCGUGAUCUAAUGGCAGCUCAGGGGCAGAGAAUGACGUGCUCAAAUAUUUCAUCGACUUCUGAUGAUGGUGCUCAAAAGUUGAAUAUCCUGGAGGCACAGGUUGCUCAACUUUUGAAACAAAUACAUAGAACCGACAAGGCAGCAAAACGACUUCUAGAAUCUCGAAAGGCUUCCCCCUCAUGCGAAACUUCCAGUGCUGGAAAUGGAAAUGGUCCUGGAAUUCAGACUCUGAUGCAGGCAAUUGAACAUCAGCUUGAAGUCACCGUGCGGGUAUAUGAAGUAUGUGCUGAGUAUGAGCGUCAAUUGGAAGAAGAGAAGGAUUCAGAUAUAAGAGACAUGAAGGAAAAGACAGUGAAGCUCAGUAGCUAUGGCAGGCAGUUGGAGAUGCAAAAACCAAAACCAAACAACUGGUGAAGUCGCAGGAUCACGGGAGCUCCAUUUUCUUAUUGGAGGACAUGGAUACGUCUGAGUCUGCUGUUCUUGCUCCACCAAGUCCUCGUAAAAGAACAUUGGAAAAGAAAGAGAACAAUGGCCUUUGACGUGGAUCGUUGAUAUGGAGUCUGCUGUUCUUGCUCCCUGUUCCUGAUUGUUGAUAUUUGUACCAACAUUGUGAACUUUUUUCUUUUAGAUCAUUAGAUGUAUGAAACUGCCUUAAAUCCAUGGACUUCGUUUUUAGCUGAUUCGUUGAGGAAAGGAUUUUGGUAUCAAACAAUCCACAAAUAUUGUGGCUAGUCAGCUUUAAUUUGAUCACUUCGAGCCACCUUUUGUGGCGUAUGAUUAUGAAAUGAUUUGUUCUGUUGAACA
RNA transcript from Juglans microcarpa x Juglans regia, 1173 nucleotides. It is a transcript of the gene named kinesin-like protein KIN-4C, with no coding region annotated. The transcript is spliced from 9 exons. The record is from RefSeq and is a predicted model, not a curated record. NCBI's taxonomy places the organism in Eukaryota, Viridiplantae, Streptophyta, Magnoliopsida, Fagales, Juglandaceae.